This 255-nucleotide ribosomal RNA is filed under the name uncultured bacterium. RNAcentral's name for it is "partial 16S ribosomal RNA". It matches the Rfam family "Bacterial small subunit ribosomal RNA", at positions 524 to 776 of the family's 1533-position model. The record is from RNAcentral.
UACGGAGGGUGCAAGCGUUUGUCCGGAUUUAUUGGGUUUAAAGGGUGCGUAGGCGGCCCUGUAAGUCAGUGGUGAAAUACUGCAGCUUAACUGUAGCAUUGCCAUUGAUACUGUAGGGCUUGAGUACAGAUGAGGUAGGCGGAAUUGAUGGUGUAGCGGUGAAAUGCAUAGAUACCAUCAAGAACACCGAUUGCGAAGGCAGCUUACUAAGCUGUAAACUGACGCUGAGGCACGAAAGCGUGGGGAUCGAACAGG